This 394-nucleotide ribosomal RNA is filed under the name Salmonella enterica. RNAcentral describes it as "bacterial SSU rRNA". It matches the Rfam family "Bacterial small subunit ribosomal RNA", at positions 1 to 391 of the family's 1533-position model. The record is from RNAcentral. Lineage: Bacteria; Pseudomonadati; Pseudomonadota; Gammaproteobacteria; Enterobacterales; Enterobacteriaceae. RNAcentral also lists the same sequence under 1 other name.
AAAUUGAAGAGUUUGAUCAUGGCUCAGAUUGAACGCUGGCGGCAGGCCUAACACAUGCAAGUCGAACGGUAACAGGAAGCAGCUUGCUGCUUUGCUGACGAGUGGCGGACGGGUGAGUAAUGUCUGGGAAACUGCCUGAUGGAGGGGGAUAACUACUGGAAACGGUGGCUAAUACCGCAUAACGUCGCAAGACCAAAGAGGGGGACCUUCGGGCCUCUUGCCAUCAGAUGUGCCCAGAUGGGAUUAGCUUGUUGGUGAGGUAACGGCUCACCAAGGCGACGAUCCCUAGCUGGUCUGAGAGGAUGACCAGCCACACUGGAACUGAGACACGGUCCAGACUCCUACGGGAGGCAGCAGUGGGGAAUAUUGCACAAUGGGCGCAAGCCUGAUGCAG